GCUCUGCCGAAAAGCAGUCUCUAUGGAUCGAAUCCCUCUAUGGGACAACAGUGUCACAGUGCAGACCUCUGAGGUCCUUACACACUGAAACCGUUAUGCUCUGUGGAGCACACGGUUAUGAGGAGGCGGCACUAGCACAUCUGUUCUGUAAACCUGGCUUCAGGUGUGUAGACAUCUUGCUGUGUGGCACACAGUAGACAGGAUUGGGCUGCAGCCUUCAGCAUCUUUCAGAAGACCUGAUUCCAGAGUUGGGAAAAUAAACAAUACAUCCUUCACUGAGGAACCUGGCUCAAGGGAUUUGCUCCAUCCCAAAACUGUCAGCAGGGGCCAACCCACCUGAUGUAAGGCCUUAAGAUUUUUACUGAGUCUCUGAGAAAUGCCUCUGUUGCCUUAUGUAUAAACCACUGUGGUAGCUUAUCCACCUCGAGGGACUGUGAACAGGACAUUUCCUUUCUGCACGGGCACUGCUGCUCUGAGCCAGCCUUUGAUCAUACCUUUGUGGGGGAAAACUUUCUAUGAUUAAAAGCUCCA
Non-coding RNA from Arvicanthis niloticus (Nile rat), 531 nucleotides. The record is from RefSeq and is a predicted model, not a curated record. Lineage: Eukaryota; Metazoa; Chordata; Mammalia; Rodentia; Muridae.